This 1581-nucleotide long non-coding RNA is filed under the name Actinia tenebrosa (Australian red waratah sea anemone). RNAcentral's name for it is "uncharacterized LOC116300573, transcript variant X2". The record is from RNAcentral. Lineage: Eukaryota; Metazoa; Cnidaria; Anthozoa; Actiniaria; Actiniidae.
GUCCAGGUGGAGGGUAGGUUCCUGGAGGUGGAUAAUACCCUCCAGGGGGUGGGUAUUGUCCAGGCGGUGGGUACUGUCCUGGAGGAGGAUACUGUCCAGGUGGAGGUUGUCCAGACAUUUCUUCACUUGCCUCAGACAAGAGCUGAUUGAGAAAAUAGCAGUCCCACAGCUUCUACGUCCAAUCAAGCUGAGGAUUCUAGAGUCCUACAAUUCUAGAGAACAUUCAAUAUUUCUAAUCAUAUAGCUCUCACACAGCAUAAAAAUCCUAAAACCCAUGUUCAUAAUCAGAAAUAUGACCGCCGAGUCUAGCUAAGUUAGUAUUGGGUUUUAGGAUUACGAUUUAAACAUUUUUUUACCAUAUAUAUUUCAUGAAGUUCCAUUGUAUUAUAUUAGUUUGCUUGGUGUCUCACCUUUGGAGCUGUAAAACAUUUACUCAUACUUUUUUCUGUGAGCUACUUAUGNUAGUAUUGGGUCUUAGGAUUACGAUUUAAACAUUUUUUUUACCAUAUAUAUUUCAUGAAGUUCCAUUGUAUUAUAUUAGUUUGCUUGGUGUCUCACCUUUGGAGCUGUANAACAUUUACUCAUACUUUUUUCUGUGAGCUACUUAUGCUUAAUAUGUUGCUGUAUCUUCCGUGACCACGAUCUUACAGACCAGUUUCAGCAAUUCCAAGAGCCGUUCAACUCAGAGGACAAAAAAAUUACACUUGUCCCAAUGAAUUCCAGUUCUCAUGAGUGUAAUAUUUUAUUGUUUUGUCCUCUGGUUUUUGGAAUAUCCUACAUAAGAUGUCUAUAUAAAUUAUAGAAUUUCAAAUGCUUUCUUUUUUAAGUCUACACAUUUUCCUGUCCUUUUUUCAUGUCAGCACCAACAUUAUGUCACAAUUGUUUGUGCAUUAGCAGUCAUGUAUAUAUAAUUUAUUAAACACUUUAUAUUCAAUGAAUGAUAUUGAAUAACUUAACUUAAGAAGUUUUUCCAGUGUAAUGAGCUUAAUAUCAAUUGCUUCGCUUUGCGACUGUCACCUUAAUCCUGGUCCUAGAUGGAUUUAUACUCGAUUUUUAAGCAAUUAGGAUUUAUUAAAUUCAUAGAUAAUCGCAAAUAGGCAUCUAUUAAUGAAUUCAUUUAAGAAGGCAAAUAACAAUAACCUGUUUUUACAGGAUUUUACACGAAAGGCCUAAAUGGUGACAAUUUCACUGUGAUUUAAUUUUGAUUUAAAUAUAGAUUUAAACUUAUAGACAUAAGUGUUUUACUGGUAUAACUCAAACUUAACAGGAUUGAAGUAAAAGGUUCUGUUUUUAAGCUGAACACAUUAAUAUAAUUACUUAAUUCAGUAUUCUAGAGGGACUUUGACGACAUAAGCUUAAGAUGUAAAACUGUCUAUUUGUGAACAGCUGUCCAGCCGCAUAUAUCGAAUCGAGACAGUGAAACAGCUCUUAGUGAGUAGCUUAUAUGGAGAAAACACAGCACUAGCUUUGAAAAGAAAAAAAGGGUCUCAUGAAGAAAUGCUCAUCGGGUAAUUUCUAUUGAAGUAGCUGAUCAGGAUUAUCAUGACCGGCAGGAAAAAACCUACGAUCACCAGUCCAAUG